RNAcentral lists this ribosomal RNA (513 nucleotides) under uncultured Glomeromycotina. RNAcentral describes it as "SSU rRNA". It matches the Rfam family "Eukaryotic small subunit ribosomal RNA", at positions 569 to 1077 of the family's 1831-position model. The record is from RNAcentral. Lineage: Eukaryota; Fungi; Glomeromycota.
AGCAGCCGCGGUAAUUCCAGCUCCAAUAGCGUAUAUUAAAGUUGUUGCAGUUAAAAAGCUCGUAGUUGAAUUUCGGGAUUGACGUGACGGUCGUGCCUUACGGGGUAUGAACUGUCGCCGUUGAUUUCUCACCUUCUGGAGAAGCUCGAUGUCCUUAGUUGGGUGUCUUGCGGAACCAGGACCUUUACCUUGAAAAAAUUAGAGUGUUUAAAGCAGGCAUUUUGCUCGAAUACAUUAGCAUGGAAUAAUAGAAUAGGACGGCAUGGUUCUAUUUUGUUGGUUUCUAGGAUCACCGUAAUGAUUAAUAGGGAUAGUUGGGGGCAUUAGUAUUCAAUUGUCAGAGGUGAAAUUCUUGGAUUUAUUGAAGACUAACUACUGCGAAAGCAUUUGCCAAGGAUGUUUUCAUUAAUCAAGAACGAAAGUUAGGGGAUCGAAGACGAUCAGAUACCGUCGUAGUCUUAACCAUAAACUAUGCCGACUAGGAAUCAGACGAUGUUAAUUUUUUAAUGACUC